Molecule: non-coding RNA, 75 nt
Organism: Podarcis lilfordi (Lilford's wall lizard)
Lineage: Eukaryota; Metazoa; Chordata; Lepidosauria; Squamata; Lacertidae
Source: the annotation of a GenBank genome assembly
ACCCAUGGAUGGCUCCGUUGGUAGAGCAUGAGGCUCUGGAUCUCAGGGAUGUGGGUUCGAGUCCCACGUUGGGCA